UUUUUUUUUUUUUUUUUUUUUUUGGCCACACCCAUGGCACACGGAAGUUCCUCGGGGCCAGGGAUCAAAUCCAAGCCGCAACUGCGACCUACGCCACAGCUGCAGCAAUGCCAGACCCUUAACCCAAGCACCAAAGGGGAAACUCCUACCCAAGUUCUCCUUUGUCAACUGAAAGAAAGCUGAGGGCCAGGCAUGGUGCCCAAAGAUGGCCUGACACUGCGUGCUCACAAGCACGCACGCUAAUUGCUCUGAAUGCAUUUAGGAAUGCCAGGUGGCAAGAACAGUGGCUCCCCCUCACUAAACAGCCAAGAGCCAUGUAAUGCUCAAAGUGCCACUAAGCAAUCCUCUGGAUAGAAGCUUCCUUCUUGGUGAUUACCCUCCUACGCCAGCGAGGAUCCCCAGAGCCGAAGACUAGGAAUAGCUUAUACAGGAUACCAUCUGUCUUAAAAAAAAUAAAAAAAUAAAUUUAAAAAAGGGUUGUCUCUGAGUAUAAUAAAAAGUAUAAUCUAUAAGGAUCUUGAGAUGGGGUGGCAUAGGCCCCUAAAGCUUUCCCCACAGGUGGGUGCCCAGAACCGGAGGGGCUCCAUCUAGCUUUAGAAAAGGGUCUGGAGUUCCUGUCGUGGCGCAUCUUGUUAGAAGUUUUUUCCAGUGAUUUUUUUCCCCAAUGGAUGAAAUUUCAGAUUUAUCAGUUCUCUUUUUGUCUAUUUUCUAUUGCAUUUAUUUCCUUUAUCUUUAUCAUUUCCUUUCUUUUUUUACUGAGUUUUAAUUUAUUCUUUAUUCUAGUUUCAUAAGGUAGAAGCUUAAAUCAUUGAUUUUCAAAACUUUCCUCUUUUUCUAAUGUAGGCACUAGUUACAAUUUUCCUUUCAAGCAUUUCUUUAGCUAUACCCCACAUAUUUUGAAAUCUGUAGCUAUAUAUCUACUAAAUAUAAUUAUCAUUUCCUAAUUUCUGCAAUAUUUUCUAAUUUGAUUCAUAGGUUAUUUGGAAAUGUGUUAAGUUACAAAUAUUAGUGGAUUUUACAGAUUAUUUAAAUUUAUUGAUUUCUAAUGUAAUUUCAGUGUGGUCUGAUCAGAGAAUAUUCUCUGUAUGAUAUGAACAUUUUUAAACUUAUUGAGGAAUUAUGUUACAGUACAAUGGGUUAAGGAUCCAGCAUUGUCACAGCAGCACCUUGGGUCACUACUGUGGCAUGGGUUUGAUCCCUGGCUGGGGAAAUUCCACAUGGGUACAGCCAAAAAUAAACAAACUUAUUGGAACAUGUUAUAUGGCCUCGUAUGUGCUCUUCUGUGAAUGCCAAGAUAAAUAUUUUAUAUGUACUUGAAAACAAUGUGUAUUUUGCAGUUGCCAUGUGGAGUGUUCUACAAAUACCAAUUAGGUUCCAUAAAUUGAUAGUGCUGUUCAAGUCCUUUAUACCUGGACUGCUUUUCUGUUUGUUUUGUAAAUUACUGAGAAAGGAGUGUUGAAGUCUCCAAAUAUAUGUUUGUAUCUGUGUAUUUCUCCUUUCAGUCCUAUCCGUGUUUUCAUUCUGUAUUGGGGAGCUUUUGUUGGAAAUACAUUGAAUGCUGUAUAUCUUCUUGAUGAG
RNAcentral lists this long non-coding RNA (1578 nucleotides) under Sus scrofa (pig). Its description in RNAcentral is "lncRNA (ENSSSCG00005015111.1)". The record is from RNAcentral. Lineage: Eukaryota; Metazoa; Chordata; Mammalia; Artiodactyla; Suidae.